GAUGAACGCUGGCGGCGUGCCUACUACAUGCAAGUCGAGCGAACAGACGAGGAGCUUGCUCCUCUGACGUUAGCGGCGGACGGGUGAGUAACACGUGGAUAACCUACCUAUAAGACUGGGAUAACUUCGGGAAACCGGAGCUAAUACCGGAUAAUAUAUUGAACCGCAUGGUUCAAUAGUGAAAGACGGUUUUGCUGUCACUUAUAGAUGGAUCCGCGCCGCAUUAGCUAGUUGGUAAGGUAACGGCUUACCAAGGCAACGAUGCGUAGCCGAACUGAGAGGGUGAUCGGCCACACUGGAACGGGGACACGGUCCAGACUCCUACGGGAGGCAGCAGUAGGGAAUCUUCCGCAAUGGGCGAAAGCCUGACGGAGCAACGCCGCGUGAGUGAUGAAGGUCUUCGGAUCGUAAAACUCUGUUAUUAGGGAAGAACAAAUGUGUAAGUAACUAUGCACGUCUUGACGGUACCUAAUCAGAAAGCCACGGCUAACUACGUGCCAGCCGCCGCAGUAA
Molecule: ribosomal RNA, 513 nt
Filed under: uncultured bacterium
Lineage: Bacteria
Description: partial 16S ribosomal RNA
Rfam family: Bacterial small subunit ribosomal RNA
Source: RNAcentral